GGCCUCGUGAUGGAAUGGUAGACAUAGCGGACUUAAAAUCCGUGCCCUUAUGGGAGUGCCGGUUCAAGUCCGGCCGAGGCUACCA
RNAcentral lists this transfer RNA (85 nucleotides) under Candidatus Pelagibacteraceae bacterium. RNAcentral's name for it is "tRNA-Leu". It matches the Rfam family "tRNA". Rfam says of the family: Transfer RNA (tRNA) molecules are approximately 80 nucleotides in length. Their secondary structure includes four short double-helical elements and three loops (D, anti-codon, and T loops). Further hydrogen bonds mediate the characteristic L-shaped molecular structure. tRNAs have two regions of fundamental functional importance: the anti-codon, which is responsible for specific mRNA codon recognition, and the 3' end, to which the tRNAs corresponding amino acid is attached (by aminoacyl-tRNA synthetases). tRNAs cope with the degeneracy of the genetic code in two manners: having more than one tRNA (with a specific anti-codon) for a particular amino acid; and 'wobble' base-pairing, i.e. permitting non-standard base-pairing at the 3rd anti-codon position. The record is from RNAcentral. Lineage: Bacteria; Pseudomonadati; Pseudomonadota; Alphaproteobacteria; Candidatus Pelagibacterales; Candidatus Pelagibacteraceae.